Ailuropoda melanoleuca (giant panda) is the source of this 1299-nucleotide long non-coding RNA. RefSeq lists it as uncharacterized. NCBI's taxonomy places the organism in Eukaryota, Metazoa, Chordata, Mammalia, Carnivora, Ursidae. The record is from RefSeq and is a predicted model, not a curated record. The transcript has 3 exons.
UGGGAUGGUUCCCAGGUUGGGUUUGUUGCUUUAGGCUCUGUCGGCUGCUCUCUGCUGCCCCCUGUUGGUGUGUAGAGGGAAGAGUAGGACUGUGGCUGAGAUGGAGAGAGGGAGAGAUUAGCAGGUCAGAGGCUCAUCCUCUGUUUCCCAGGACCCCAGUAUGGACCACUGGUGUGGCUAAGAACCUGACGAGAAGCCAUUAGAGGAGUCUACUCUUUGGGAGAGGCCAUCAGGAAAAUAUGCAUCAUAUUCACCUUCUCAACAGUUCCUCAAUACCAAGAGCCCAGAUACAGAGGGCAAGUAAAGAAUGAUUUGGUAAGACUUUGUCCUCCAGGACUUUAUGAUCUAGUGAAGGAAUAAAAAAGACCUCAGCCCAAGGGAAAGCACAAACAAACUAUAUGACAAUGUUAAAAACAGCAACGACUCCCAGGAAGGGUCUAAUUGGUCCAGAGAGUUAUCAUCGAAAAUCAAUGUCCCAAAUGGGCAGAGUCCAUGUGUCAGAUCGCCUUACCGACUGUCCUAUCUGUGAGCAAGUCUGUCACCUUUUUGUUAAACCAGGGACCUUAAUCCAACAUGGCUUAUGGAUGUGCUGGAGGCCCACAAGACACAACACCUGGCCCUUGGUGUGAGGAGCUGGUCACCCUCUGCAGAAAGGAUCUGUGGCAUGGUGGGCCCAAGGGCUUUAUACACAGCCCAAUACAGUGCCCCAGAGAGAGACAGCUAACAGAAAAAGAGGGACACCAGGAAGUGCUAAGGAGGAGAGAGACAGUUCCAAGGAAAGGAGAAGAAUAUUCUCUAUAGGAGGAGAAACUUGGCCAAACCUUGGAUUGGGCCUUGAAAGAUGAGAGGAUUUGGAUCUGGGAAGGGAUGGGGGAGUCACUCCAGACAGAUUAGCUGCCAGGAGCUCUGGAGGGGCCGGGGUAAAGCAUGCAUAUCUUGCCUGGCUCAGGGACGCAAUCCUGGACACUGAAGGUCCCUAGGGAGUAAUGUUCCUAGCAUCAUACUCUGUCCCAUCCCAUUAUCCUAAAAUCCCCACAAAGUCAUGCCAUGCCUGUAGCUCCCAUUCCUUCUCAUACCCUUCACACUGACCCCUCCAGGCUAGGACACUGGUGACCCUUUUUCCCAGGUCCCAGGACUUCCCGGCAAGCUGAAUUGCCAGCGGGCCUUUGUCCAUUUCCCUUAACCUCCCCUCAUGGCAUUGGGAGCUGGUGCUGUCACUCGCACACCUCUUGUCAGCCACUGUGCGUCAACAGUAGAAAGAGAGCCAGACGAGACAGAACAUACUCAGUGAAGGAACAU